GCCCCUUCUCCUUCCUCUCUGGUUUCUCUCAGUUUUCUCCGAGUCGUCCGCCUCCCUCUGCCAUUUUCCUCCGUUUUCCUCCCAAAAAGCUCGGUUUUAAGCCUCAAAAUUGCCAAGGGUGAAGGGAUUUCUGUGUAUUUGUUGAAGGUUGGGUAUUCGGUUUUUGUUGGACUAAAGAGAUUGCUAGCAAGAUAUUGAAGGCAUUGGACACACACGUGGAUUAAUUUGACCGUCAGAUAUCCCAGCUGAUUGUGAACGAGCGCCUCCAAAUAAACGUGGACGCCAUAAAGGAUUGAACACGCGGGAAAAGAGGGAACAGUUGGG
This is a long non-coding RNA of Humulus lupulus (European hop), 324 nucleotides long. RefSeq lists it as uncharacterized. The record is from RefSeq and is a predicted model, not a curated record. Lineage: Eukaryota; Viridiplantae; Streptophyta; Magnoliopsida; Rosales; Cannabaceae. The transcript has 4 exons.